GCCCUGGUGGUGUAAUCCGGCUCAGCAUGAAGCCCUGUCGCGGCUUCGAUUCGGGUUCAAACAUGCAAUGUGGGAUUUCGCAUUGCUCAAUCCCACGGAACGAUGGUAAGGGUUAUGGAAUUCCCGACCAGGGCG
RNAcentral lists this transfer RNA (135 nucleotides) under Candidatus Woesearchaeota archaeon. Its description in RNAcentral is "tRNA-Asp". Lineage: Archaea; Nanobdellati; Candidatus Woesearchaeota. The record is from RNAcentral.